Molecule: long non-coding RNA, 776 nt
Organism: Panthera uncia (snow leopard)
Lineage: Eukaryota; Metazoa; Chordata; Mammalia; Carnivora; Felidae
Exons: 2
Source: RefSeq, a predicted model, not a curated record
CCGCGGGGAACAAUAGCCGCCGCCUCCCCGGGGCGGCCGGGCGAUAGCGCGGCACAAAGGCCGGCUCCGCGCCGCGCCACCAUGUGACGCGCGCGCUCGUUCCGCGCUCUCCGGCCUGCAGCCGGGCGCAGUCAGCAGAGAGCCGGAGCGGCCAGGCUGCCUCAAUCCACCUGGCACACUUUCCGAAAGACAAACGCGGUUCCUCCUACUUCAGAGCAAGUCUGGGCCAGCUGGGAGCCGACCAGAAACCGCAAGCAGAGGAGACACAGGCACCCGGGGUGAGCGCUCACGGAGGGCGCGACCCGCUGCCCCACGCUCUGCGGCGCGAGGCCGGACACCCCCCCACUCCCUGUCCUCCCGGUCGCCUGCCGGCCCCGCCUCCGGACCCCUUGCAGCCCACGGUUCUCCCAAGGGGCGGCCCCCGCGCCCGCCCCAGACGCACGGAGACUGUAUACCCUGCCCCCCCCCUCCUGCUCCCCGCCCCCCGUCACACCCUUAGCGCAGCUGUACCCCUGGAAAGGGAAGAGGAAAAUCCCAGGUUUUGCAGACACUAUGUAAGAGUCUUAAAAAAAAAAAAAAAAAAAAAAAAAAAAAAAAAAAAAAAGAUUCCCAGGGGACUAGAAUUCAGGGACGGGGCGGAGCUAGUUUAGUUCUCUUAUCUACCUGCAGGAGUCAUUUAUUUGGAAGGAAGCAAGGGUAUCCCUGUUAAACUUGGAACUAAACCUGAAUGCCAUAUAAAAAGAACAAUAAAAAUACACGUAAAAUGCCAACCAUAA